GAUGAACGCUGGCGGCGUGCCUAAUACAUGCAAGUCGAGCGAACAGACGAGGAGCUUGCUCCUCUGACGUUAGCGGCGGACGGGUGAGUAACAGGUGGAUAACCUACCUUUAAGACUGGGAUAACUUUGGGAAACCGGAGCUAAUACCGGAUAAUAUAUUGAACCGCAUGGUUCAAUAGUGAAAGACGGUUUUGCUGUCACUUAUAGAUGGAUCCGCGCCGCAUUAGCUAGUUGGUAAGGUAACGGCUUACCAAGGCGACGAUGCGUAGCCGACCUGAGAGGGUGAUCGGCCACACUGGAACUGAGACACGGUCCAGACUCCUACGGGAGGCAGCAGUAGGGAAUCUUCCGCAAUGGGCGAAAGCCUGACGGAGCAACGCCGCGUGAGUGAUGAAGGUCUUCGGAUCGUAAAACUCUGUUAUUAGGGAAGAACAAAUGUGUAAGUAACUAUGCACGUCUUGACGGUACCUAAUCAGAAAGCCACGGCUAACUACGUG
RNAcentral lists this ribosomal RNA (497 nucleotides) under uncultured bacterium. RNAcentral describes it as "partial 16S ribosomal RNA". It matches the Rfam family "Bacterial small subunit ribosomal RNA", at positions 28 to 507 of the family's 1533-position model. The record is from RNAcentral.